UUGUGAGUCCUUCAGCGCUAGCCCCCGUGGAAAUGUGACUUUGACAAUGUUGAGUAUUUUAUGUGUUUGAUGAAAUACAGAGAUCCCUUGGAUGCAGGAGGGAGUUAGGCCAGGCAGGCAGCGUGGUGUCAACCCCAGUCUGCCUGACCCUCUCCUCACCCCUCGUUCCUGUUUUCUUCUGACUUCUCCGCUCCUUGCAGAUCUCGGUUCUGAUUCAUACCAUCUUUGCUUUAAAGCUCCAUGGUAGAGACAGAGGCUUGAUUGCUAUGCAAAGCUGUAAGCCCUGGUUCCUUGCUGACCGGACUUGGUGCCUGACUGGGCUUGUCUGCUCUCAAGUCGGGGCACCCUUAGCAGAAGGGCAAACUCAUGACUUCAAAGUUUGUUUCCAUGCCUGUUAUGCAUAGUCAUCUGUAAUCAGCUUCUUUUCAAACCGCUUUUUAGAAGACCAGAAGCGUCUGGAAGGAGGGAAUGGUUGAUGAUCCAGGUAAUCCAUGAGCUAGCCUAACAGCCCUGCCAUUUCUAGCAGGAUUUGGCAAAGAAACUGUGUAACAGCAGUGGCGUUAGGGAUAGGUAACCCAGUUUUUGGUGUAUUAUCUGACACAACACGGCUGACAGAUGACACACUUGGUGAUGGGGAAGCUGCUGGCUGACUUUGUGGUCCUGCUCAAGAGGCGAGGCAGCUGGGCCUUGUUUCUGAGCUCUGUGUCCUCAGCUCCUCUCAGGUGACUGCUGACAUUCAGGUACGUCUUAGCCUGAUGGCUCUUCAUACUGCUUCUCCUGCCCCACAGGAGAACUGUUUGCCCCAGACCUUGCUGCUCAACCUCCUGCUCUAGCGGGAGUUUCAUGGGGCUGCUUGCUGGCCAGAGAGCUCAGCGGUUGUUAAGUAACUAAUGAGUGGGAGGUAUGAUAUGUGUAUUAUUCAGUUUAUUACUCUGAUGAGUAGCUGGGUUUAGGCCAAGCCGCCUCCUCAUGUGACCUUUGGGAAGGAGGAGGGAGAGGUUUCCUGCUCGCCACUGUUCUGAACGUGCUUUUUGCUGCUGUUUUGGGUGUUGGCUUUCCUAAACUGUGUGUGAGCAAGCCAGUGUGACAGAAAUGAAGGUGUUUUUGAAAGAAACAAGUUACUGAUGCUGCAUGAAGCUGUUUUCCACACCUAGCACUUUGUCCUUGGGAUUUGGGAAGAAUGGUAGUGUAGGUCUGAGGUAUGAAUCAGUGCUUACUUGGCCUCUCUCAGGAUGAUUCAAAAGUCCUAAUAGCCUGCCAUGGAAUUAAAAUCCUUCUGAAAAUAAACAAAAGAUGCAGUUAAUUUUAGCUACAAGUGACUUAGAAGUUUCUUUGUAAAGCAGUCUCAACUAUCCCAUGCACAUCUGGCUGAUUCCAGUUAGCUGAGACCAGCAUCAAAGGGAGAGAAUGGGUUCAGGUUAGAGUCUGCACAGACUGAGAGAAGUAUUUUUUUGCUAACUUUGUGACCUGCUCUUACCCUGGAGAUGCUGAUGUUUCAAACAUCCUGAUUAGUGGACAGACUCUUAGUCCUUUUUCAGUGCUGUGGAAAUCCCAGGCCCAGCGGAACUGUGUUACUAAUUAAAAAGUACGCGUAUGACUAACAUUUUCCCAGCAUGUAGUAAACCCAGUGAUCUCACAAACUCCUCUUCCUUGGAAUUAACAAUGAGCUGAGAAUAAUGAUCCUUCCACCUCAUUGUUCAUUCAGCUCCUUCUGACCAAUCAUCCCUGUGUCGGGAAAGCGCUUGUGCUGCGUUUGAAACUGCUGCCCUCACACUGCCAGCCUUUUCAGCUUGAAAAAGCAUCAUCUGAAAGAAGACUGUGAUCCUGGGGGGGAUGGACUGUAAUUACUGAAAUACCAUAGUAGAUUAACAGGAAAAAAAAAUGGGCAGUUUGCCUCUGUGCAGCACAGAGGUUUAUAACUUCACAGUGCACAGGCAUUCCAGCACCUUCUUAUUUCUCCCAUAAGGAAAGCUACUGCCUGGGGUGGUGGCUGCUAGCUGCUUUCCUAUGGGAUGUAUUGCAAUCUUGGGAUGCCCCUUUGCCAUGACAUCCCCAGGAGCUCUUUGUUUCCCUACCAUCACUCUGCUGUGGGGCAUCCCCUAUCCCCAAGCAGCAGGGCUGGAGGUGCUCACCCACUCUCCCCUCUGUGCCUCACCUUGGUUUUGGGCAUGUGGGAAGAAGCUGGGAGCCAGGACGCUGGCAUACAUGAGGAUCUCUGUGGGUUUGAGGGAAGCUGCCCUGAAACAAGUUCAUCUGAGGUGACAGCAGUGCAUAGGAUGGAUAUUUAAAAUAGGCAGCAUUGCCAUACAUAGCUGAGAUAGCUUUCCAAACCACUCAGCUCUGAUUUCUCAAGAGUUUCAGUGUGUAAAGUGGCUCAGAAAGUGGAGCUUUGCCACUUUAACCUAGUAUCUGUCUCACUGAGAAAUGAGUAGCAAUAAGUUUGAGCAGCAGAUGGUGAAGUCUUCCACACAGCUAAGGAGGAGAGAGAGAAUGAUAUUGACACUUCUGGCAUCUCGUUGAAUAAGCACGCAUGUCACUUCAUCUCAGAUAUGAAUAUACACUGCAGUGUGGGUGAUUAAAUAGAGUACUUCGUAUUUAGAAGUAGGCAUCUGCCUAAGAGGUUUCUGCCUGUUGAAUCAAAUUUUCCAAGACUUCUACCCAUGUCAGCCAGCCUUUGACUGGAAUUGCUCAGUGACUCCCUGAAUCUACUUUGACACUUAAUAACUUUCGGAAUAAUUCUUUAUGUUCUGAAGACCUGCUGCACAGCUUCUUGGGGCAUAGCCAUUUUAAUUUCCUUUUAUAAUGCUAGUGAUGUUGAAGGGAGCUGCUGUGUGAAUAGCUCCCCUUAUAGCCACUGCAGACACUUUUGUUGCCAUGUUUGCCUGCGUCUGAGGAAGAGGAGGAUAGUUCAUUUUCACUUGGCGCAUGAGGGAGAAUGCUUCCAUUCAAACCAUUAGUCUGCCUUCUGACAGAAAUGGGCACACUGUCCAUUUAUGAUGUUCAUGUGACCACCAGCAUUUUGGUGGUAGCUUCUGAACCAGCCACCAGCUAGCAACAUGAUUUCCAGAGGGCUCUAGAAAGGCCAGGCUCUGCAAGGGCUGGCAGGGCUGCUGGGUCCCUCUGACCUGCUGGCAGGUACUGAAGGCCUUAGUGGGCAGGAAUGGUUCAUGUGCCUCUACUGAGAGCAUAAGGCAAAUAGGAGGUAGGUAGAAUGAGCACCAUGAAGAGCUUGGGGUUUGUAUAGCACUGAUUGAUGCUUUUGCAGAGCCCACAUCAGUGGAACUCCUGGUGCUGAUUUACUUCCUGGCACGCUGGUACUUAGAGGCAGGAGGAGUGGAACAGGGGUUGCCCAUUAGCACCAUUGAUUGCAGCUGGUGCUGCAUUUCUCCCUGCUGCCCAUCCAGAGGUGAUCUGCAAAUUCUGCUCUUUGCUACGUGCUCCAAGGGUGGAAGAUUCAGCUUCCUUCACAGGGACUGCUUUGGGGAUGAGGGUGUCAUAGGCCAAGAUGAAGAGAAUCUUCUAUGUGUGAGUAUCAUUUUUCCUUCCCCUUCAAGGUGCAAAUGGAUCUCCUUUGGGAGGAGCAUGUCCUCAGACUGGUUUAGUGACUUUCAUUGUGUCGGAGGAAGCACGCUUUUUGGGGAGAGGUUGUACAGAGAACUUUCUUCCUACUCUCUCCUCCUGUUCCCUGUCUCAGGGAGGUCGGGCUGGGAUCCACUUUUCCUCCCCCUUUCAGCAAUUGCAAAAUGAUGUGUUUGAUUCCUGCACCAAGAAAACAACCUUCAAAUAGGGGCUGAAAUUCUAUCUUGGGGGGUGAUGGGCUUGAGCUGGGAGGAGAGGGGCCGAGUGAGAAGGGCCAUUCCAGAGGGCUUUAGCUCUGCUCCUUUUAGCUUUGAGUUGUUUUGUUAUGGAACCUCAUUCUGGCAUUGCUAAGGGGUGGUGAAGGAGCUUCCUGUGCUCCUGCUCUGUGCACUGGGCAGCUGUGGUCUGGGGUGGGGAAUAUCUGCCUGGCUUUAGAGGUGAGCAUCUCUACUUCCUGACUGCAGCAUGUUCUAAAACAAGCCUAGGCACCGGGUAUCUCAGCAUAUGUGUUGUUUGCGCAGAUUGUGUUGCUCGUUAGCAGGCUUGAGACUGAGAAAUGAAGUGUAAUGGAGACCACUUGGGUCCUGACCAUCUCAGCCUCUGGCUGUCUAAACCCUUGAGGUAAUCCAGUUUCCUGUUUCCAGCCUCAUUUGAGCAGCCUCAGCUGUUUUCCAGUGGUAAGGGUGCAAUACUGCUCUCUGCCUGGCCUAAGCAGUUAUAAAUCAGAGUACCAGAUUUCAUAUCUGAGUGAUGGUGUUUUGGAAGUUAUGUUGCCGCUGUCUGGGCUCCUCUUGAAAAGCAAGUGAUGGGUAGUGAUAGAGAACUGUUGUCUUUGACAUGGAGAUGCUGAGGAUCCUUGGCUGGGCACUGCACUCCUCAGCUUUCUAAUGGCAGUAUAACCCCACCUCUGCUGCCAGCAUCUUGAGGCCUUCUGGAAGGAGCUGGGAGAUGUCAUGCAACCGGCUGUGAGUUAGAGGAGAGUGGAGAGGUGCAGAGGGACAAACAGCAUCAGCUGGGAAGUGCUGGUGUGCCCUUGCUGUGUGCUCAUGCAGGGCUGCCUGCUUUCUGUGCUGAGCAGGGCUGAGAGACCCUGCCAGCACUGUGCUCCUGCUCCAGCACUCCUCCUGUAGAUUUUCAUCCGUUUCUUAAAGCCCACCCACAGGCUCAGCUGGGCUUUGGAAGCCAAAAUGUGAGCAAACGUCAAGCUUCCCGAUCCCUUCAAGGCAGAAUAAAUCCCGUGAAGUGGAAGCUUUUAUUUUUUCAGAGGAGUUGCCGGUACCCAUCAAACUCCUUGGCACCAGGUCACCUGGAAGGUGAAGGGGUGCAAUCACUGUACUUGCAUGCAACACCUCCAGUCUUUUGCCUUGCGAAUCAUGGAGGUGACGUUUCCCCCAGCCUACAUGUGGGCUGUCACAAUCUGUGUGAGGGUGGAAGAGCAUUGCUCAAACAAGCCUCAGUUCUCGCAAACCACUGGAAGCCGGCUGAGUAGCAUAGAGGAGGAAAGAAAGUAUUAAGAAGGUAUUUCUUUUUGUAGCAGUACGUGAGCAGAGAACUGCUGAAGACAUGGGACUGCAGGAGCAGCCUUGCUCUGACUCAAGCACAGGCACUGAGAGCAGAGCUGGUGGUGGUACUUUUGCUCUCAGCUUAAAAUACUGCCUCCUGGAUGCAGAAUGUUUGAAACCCCCAGGCUAAAUAAGAAAAGUGGUCAAUGAAUAAUGCAUAUAUGGCGGAGCAUUCCUUUAACCAGUUCUCACCUCACACUCCACUAGGCUGAGCUGGUCCCACCUCAUCUCAUGAGAUGGGCUUUUCCUCUGCCUGAGUCUUCUCCUAAGUUACAAGUGAUAGGACAAGAGGUAAUGGCCUCAAGCUGUGCUGGGGAGGUUUAGAUUGCAUAUUGGGAACAAUUUCUUCACAGAUAGGGUGAUCAGGCAUUGGAACAGCUGCCCAGGGAAGUGGUGGAGUUACUGUUCCUGGAAGUGUCCAAAGAAACGUGUAGAUGAGGCCCCCAGGGAUAUGGUUUAGUGAUGGACUUGGCAGUGCUGGGGUAAUGGUUGGACUUGAUGAUCUUAAAGGUCUUUCCCAGCCUAGCUGGUUCUAUGAUUCUUGUGCUUGCCAAGCCUUAGCCGAGUACCUGAGCUUCCACAUCUCCCCUGAGCGGUAGCUGUUGGGAGCAGGAGGUGUCUGGGCUGUUCUGGGCAUGGGAUGCUCCAGUGGCCCCUGGAGAUGGUGGCUUAGCAGACAGAGGUGGGGAAGAGAUAAAGACAGGCCAUGUUUUUCCCAGGCUGUUUACUUUCCAGCAUGCAGCCUUUUUAAGCUGCUCUUAUGUUUCCAAAUGCUGCAGCAUGCUUGAUUAGAGCCUGGUUAGCAUGAACUGCUAGAUGUUGGAAACUAAAAGGGUUUGCUUUUGUUUCAGUGAUGUCUGGAGAAUUUGGGAAGCUGUUCAGGACUUGCUCCCUUUCAAGAGCAAGGACGAGCCUUCCGUGGUUGCAUCCCCCUCCCUUGACUCCCCUCUCACAGAAAGUCACUGAGUUUUUAGCAUGUCCUUCAUGGAAAUAGCUCCUUAAUAUCAGUUGAGCUUUUUUUCAGAUCUCUCUCUCUCUUGGUGUUUCUCUGUUCCCUUAUCUUGUUUAUGAAACUGUAUUAUGUGAGACAAAACUCAUUUGUUGGUGAGGAAGGGACAUUGUACUCAGUGGGAUAUUUACUGUGUACCUGAGGUAUAAUCUAUCCUCUGCAGUGAUACGGACUCCAAAAUGAAUGGGUAUUUAUUUAUAAUAAUAUAGCAGACAGCCCAUAGGGAGGUGUCAGCUUGUUUGUAAUCAAUCUGUGCAAUGCUCUCGUUGCAGCACAAUAACACUUUGCAUUAAGUGA
This is a long non-coding RNA of Pezoporus occidentalis (night parrot), 6447 nucleotides long. RefSeq lists it as uncharacterized. NCBI's taxonomy places the organism in Eukaryota, Metazoa, Chordata, Aves, Psittaciformes, Psittacidae. The transcript is spliced from 3 exons. The record is from RefSeq and is a predicted model, not a curated record.